GAUUAACGUUGGCGGUGCGUCUAAUACAUGCAAGUCGAGCGACACUUCGGUGGAGCGGCGGACGGCUGAGUAACACGUUGGUAGCUACCCCCUACUCAGGGAUAACAUCGAGAAAUUGGUGCUAAUACCGGAUAGUCCCGUAAGGGUAAAGAUUUUUCGGUAGGGGAGGCGCCUGCGGCCUAUCAGCUUGUUGGUGAGGUAAUGGCUUACCAAGGCUAUGACGGGUAGCUGGUCUGAGAGGAUGAUCAGCCAGAGGGAGACUGAGACACGGCUCCCACUCCUACGGGAGGCAGCAGUAAAGAAUCUUCCACAAUGGGCGAAAGCCUGAUGGAGCGACACCGCGUGCGGGAUGAAGGCUUUCGGGUCGUAAACCGCUUUUCUGGGGGAAGAAUUAUGACGGUACCCUAGGAAUAAGCACCGGCUAAUUACGUGCCAGCCGCCGCCGUAAAAC
Molecule: ribosomal RNA, 451 nt
Filed under: uncultured bacterium
Lineage: Bacteria
Description: bacterial SSU rRNA
Rfam family: Bacterial small subunit ribosomal RNA
Source: RNAcentral